RNAcentral lists this ribosomal RNA (542 nucleotides) under uncultured bacterium. RNAcentral's name for it is "bacterial SSU rRNA". It matches the Rfam family "Bacterial small subunit ribosomal RNA", at positions 777 to 1314 of the family's 1533-position model. The record is from RNAcentral.
ACAAUAGACUACCCGGGUAGUCCACGCCCUAAACGAUGCGAACUGGAUGUUGGGUACAUUACGGUACUCAGUGUCGAAGCUAACGCGUUAAGUUCGCCGCCUGGGGAGUACGGUCGCAAGACUGAAACUCAAAGGAAUUGACGGGGGCCCGCACAAGCGGUGGAGUAUGUGGUUUAAUUCGAUGCAACGCGAAGAACCUUACCUGGCCUUGACAUCUGUCGAAUCCUGCAGAGAUGCGGGAGUGCCGCAAGGAACGACAAGACAGGUGCUGCAUGGCUGUCGUCAGCUCGUGUCGUGAGAUGUUGGGUUAAGUCCCGCAACGAGCGCAACCCUUGUCCCUAGUUGCCAGCACGUAAUGGUGGGAACUCUAGGGAGACUGCCGGUGACAAACCGGAGGAAGGUGGGGAUGACGUCAAGUCCUCAUGGCCCUUACGGCCAGGGCUACACACGUACUACAAUGGUCGGUACAGAGGGUUGCGAAGCCGCGAGGUGGAGCCAAUCCCAGAAAACCGAUCCCAGUCCGGAUCGGAGUCUGCAACUCG